CAUUAGGUGCCAUUAGGCACCACAUAAGCUGAACAAUAGAAAAAUU
This is a non-coding RNA of Nelumbo nucifera (sacred lotus), 46 nucleotides long. The record is from Rfam. NCBI's taxonomy places the organism in Eukaryota, Viridiplantae, Streptophyta, Magnoliopsida, Proteales, Nelumbonaceae.